Molecule: ribosomal RNA, 467 nt
Filed under: uncultured bacterium
Lineage: Bacteria
Description: bacterial SSU rRNA
Rfam family: Bacterial small subunit ribosomal RNA
Source: RNAcentral
ACUCCUACGGGAGGCAGCAGUAGGGAAUAUUGGGCAAUGGUCGGAAGACUGACCCAGCCAUGCCGCGUGCAGGAAGACGGCCUAUUGGUUGUAAACUGCUUUUAUCUGGGAAGAAAAGGCCAUGCGUGGCAAAUUGCCGGUACCAGAUGAAUAAGCACCGGCUAACUCCGUGCCAGCAGCCGCGGUAAUACGGAGGGGUGCAAGCGUUGUCCGGAUUUAUUGGGGUUUAAAGGGUGCGUAGGCGGCUGAUUAAGUCAGCGGUGAAAGACUCCGGCUCAACCGGAGCAGUGCCGUUGAUACUGGUUAGCUUGAGUGCUGCAGGGGUACAUGGAAUUGAUGGUGUAGCGGUGAAAUGCAUAGAUACCAUCAGGAACACCGAUAGCGAAGGCAUUGUACUGGGCAGCAACUGACGCUGAGGCACGAAAGCGUGGGGAUCGAACAGGAUUAGAUACCCUGGUAGGAUAGCG